UUAAUUGAAGAGUUUGAUCAUGGCUCAGAUUGAACGCUGGCGGCAGGCCUAACACAUGCAAGUCGAGCGGAAACGACAACAUUGACCCUUCGGGUGAUUUGUUGGGCGUCGAGCGGCGGACGGGUGAGUAAUGCCUGGGAAAUUGCCCUGAUGUGGGGGAUAACCAUUGGAAACGAUGGCUAAUACCGCAUAACGUCUACGGACCAAAGAGGGGGACCUUCGGGCCUCUCGCUUCAGGAUAUGCCCAGGUGGGAUUAGCUAGUUGGUGAGGUAAUGGCUCACCAAGGCGACGAUCCCUAGCUGGUCUGAGAGGAUGAUCAGCCACACUGGAACUGAGACACGGUCCAGACUCCUACGGGAGGCAGCAGUGGGGAAUAUUGCACAAUGGGCGCAAGCCUGAUGCAGCCAUGCCGCGUGUAUGAAGAAGGCCUUCGGGUUGUAAAGUACUUUCAGUCGUGAGGAAGGC
Molecule: ribosomal RNA, 466 nt
Filed under: Vibrio breoganii ZF-55
Lineage: Bacteria; Pseudomonadati; Pseudomonadota; Gammaproteobacteria; Vibrionales; Vibrionaceae
Also listed under: 1 other name
Description: bacterial SSU rRNA
Rfam family: Bacterial small subunit ribosomal RNA
Source: RNAcentral